This 492-nucleotide ribosomal RNA is filed under the name uncultured bacterium. RNAcentral describes it as "partial 16S ribosomal RNA". It matches the Rfam family "Bacterial small subunit ribosomal RNA", at positions 29 to 507 of the family's 1533-position model. The record is from RNAcentral.
AGUGAACGCUGGCGGUAGGCCUAACACAUGCAAGUCGAACGGCAGCACAGUAAGAGCUUGCUCUUACGGGUGGCGAGUGGCGGACGGGUGAGGAAUACAUCGGAAUCUACUUUUUCGUGGGGGAUAACGUAGGGAAACUUACGCUAAUACCGCAUACGACCUACGGGUGAAAGCAGGGGAUCUUCGGACCUUGCGCGAUUGAAUGAGCCGAUGUCGGAUUAGCUAGUUGGCGGGGUAAAGGCCCACCAAGGCGACGAUCCGUAGCUGGUCUGAGAGGAUGAUCAGCCACACUGGAACUGAGACACGGUCCAUACUCCUACGGGAGGCAGCAGUGGGGAAUAUUGGACAAUGGGCGCAAGCCUGAUCCAGCCAUACCGCGUGGGUGAAGAGGGCCUUCGGGUUGUAAAGCCCUUUUGUUGGGAAAGAAAAGCAGCAGGUUAAUACCCCGCUGUUCUGACGGUACCCAAAGAAUAAGCACCGGCUAACUUCGUG